CCAGUGUGAGGUAGUAGGUUGUAUAGUUAAGGACUACAUCUAACAAGGAGAAAACUGUACAACUUGCUAACUUUCCCUGG
RNAcentral lists this microRNA precursor (80 nucleotides) under Strigamia maritima. RNAcentral's name for it is "let-7 microRNA precursor". It matches the Rfam family "let-7 microRNA precursor family". Rfam says of the family: This family represents the microRNAs (miRNA) let-7 and mir-98. let-7 was identified from a study of developmental timing in C. elegans, and was later shown to be part of a much larger class of non-coding RNAs termed miRNAs. The record is from Rfam by way of RNAcentral. Lineage: Eukaryota; Metazoa; Arthropoda; Chilopoda; Geophilomorpha; Linotaeniidae.